RNAcentral lists this ribosomal RNA (254 nucleotides) under uncultured bacterium. RNAcentral describes it as "partial 16S ribosomal RNA". It matches the Rfam family "Bacterial small subunit ribosomal RNA", at positions 524 to 776 of the family's 1533-position model. The record is from RNAcentral.
UACGUAGGGUGCGAGCGUUAAUCGGAAUUACUGGGCGUAAAGCGUGCGCAGGCGGUUUUGUAAGCCAGAUGUGAAAUCCCCGGGCUUAACCUGGGAAUGGCAUUUGGGACUGCAAGGCUCGAGUGCGGCAGAGGAGACUGGAAUUCCUGGUGUAGCAGUGAAAUGCGUAGAAUAUCAGGAGGACACCGAUGGCGAAAGGCAGGUCUCUGGGCUGACACUGACGCUCAUGCACGAAAGCGUGGGGAGCAAACAGG